GACGAAAGUCUGACCGAGCAACGCCGCGUGAGUGAAGAAGGUUUUCGGAUCGUAAAGCUCUGUUGUAAGUCAAGAACGUGUGUGAGAGUGGAAAGUUCACACAGUGACGGUAGCUUACCAGAAAGGGACGGCUAACUACGUGCCAGCAGCCGCGGUAAUACGUAGGUCCCGAGCGUUGUCCGGAUUUAUUGGGCGUAAAGGGAGCGCAGGCGGUCAGGAAAGUCUGGAGUAAAAGGCUAUGGCUCAACCAUGGUGUGCUCUGGAAACUGUCUGACUUGAGUGCAGAAGGGGAGAGUGGAAUUCCAUGUGUAGCGGUGAAAUGCGUAGAUAUAUGGAGGAACACCAGUGGCGAAAGCGGCUCUCUGGUCUGUCACUGACGCUGAGGCUCGAAAGCGUGGGUAGCGAACAGGAUUAGAUACCCUGGUAGUCCACGCCGUAAACGAUGAGUGCUAGGUGUUAGGCCCUUUCCGGGGCUUAGUGCCGGAGCUAACGCAAUAAGCACUCCGCCUGGGGAGUACGACCGCAAGGUUGAAACUCAAAGGAAUUGACGGGGGCCCGCACAACGGUGGAGCAUGUGGUUUAAUUCGAAGCAACGCGAAGAACCU
This 605-nucleotide ribosomal RNA is filed under the name Streptococcus mutans. Its description in RNAcentral is "bacterial SSU rRNA". It matches the Rfam family "Bacterial small subunit ribosomal RNA", at positions 374 to 971 of the family's 1533-position model. Lineage: Bacteria; Bacillati; Bacillota; Bacilli; Lactobacillales; Streptococcaceae. The record is from RNAcentral.